Pygocentrus nattereri (red-bellied piranha) is the source of this 1789-nucleotide long non-coding RNA. The record is from Ensembl. NCBI's taxonomy places the organism in Eukaryota, Metazoa, Chordata, Actinopteri, Characiformes, Serrasalmidae.
CUCCCUCUGUCUCUCACGCUCUCUCAUCUCCCACUCCCUCUCUCUCUUUACAUAUAUUACCUAUUUCUCUCUUCCUUACUCUCCUCCUUGUUCUGUCUUUCUGUCUCUCUUUUACUAUCACUUUCUAUCUACUCUUGCUCUUUCUCAUUGUCUGUCAUUGCACUCUCUCUUUCUCUCUCACCCUCUCUCUUUUUUGCUCUAUCUUUCGCUUUCUUUCUCCUUUCGCUCUCUUUCAGCCUCACUUUCUCUUUCACUAUUAUUCUCUCUCUUCAGGCCCACAGUGCUGUGGAGUGAUGACAGUGUGGUGUGUUAUUUUGAGUCUCUCUCUCUCUCUCUCUCUCUCUCUCUCUCUCUCUCUCUCUCUCUCUCUCUCUCUCUCUCUCUCUCUCUCUCUCUCUCUCUCUCUCUCUCUCUCUCUCAGACAGGGUCGGGUAAAGUGGCAUGUUGUUUUGGACUGUAAGAUAAGAUGAUAGCGAGGCUCAGCCCGGCCCUCAGCCCGGCCCUCAGCCCAGCCCCGCUUCAGCUUCUGUAACCUCUCAUGGCCGCAGAGAGCAGCCAAUCAUGUGAACCUCUAAAAAUAGCCCCACCGUUUUUCCAUCUGAACAUGCAGGACUCUUGUUUUUCAUUAUUACUCGUUACGAACCGUCUCCCUGCUACUCCUCAUGUGCGUCACUCUGAUGAUCCAUGCAAACUACCUCACUUACACUCUCUCUGUUAGAGAGGCUGUCUUACUGGUGCUCAGUAUCAGUGUGGGCCAGUACCAGGAGAGAAUACUGGAUCGGGUCAUUAGCGGAUAAAAAAACGUGUCCUGGGUUGUCCUUUUACCCAAGAUGCACCGGGGCGCUGUCAGUGUGGCUCGGCCGUGUGCACGUGAUGAGGAGAAAGCACUCAUCCUCCGGUCUGUGCAGACAGACAUCCCUUCAUCCGCAGGAACAUGUGUAGCUACAUAUUUGGUCAGCAAGCAGCUACACAUCCUUUCAGACCCACAGCGCUGAGUCAUCCUCUCAUGCGUGACUUCUUGCUCAUUGUCUUUAUACCUAUAGGGCUACAGUGUAUAAUGAAAAACCUGUUUUGCUUGUUCAGUGUUAAAAUAACUGGUAAUUAUCCAACAGUAUUAUAACAUGGACGUUACUGAGUAGUGAAUUAGACACUACAAUUAGCACAUUUACACAAUACAAGCAAGUAAUCACUGGAUUGCUAAAUACAAUAACAGUACAAUGAUAUGCACCAAAAUACGUUUGUGAUACAGACACUUAAAUAAACUAUCUGUCCAAAAGUAUCCGCACAGCCCUUUUGAUGAGUCAGUUCGGCUACUUUAAGGUCACCCACUGCUGGCACAACUUGUAUAAUCUCCAUAGAAAAGCACUGACCAAUAGAAUGGGAUGCUCUGGAGCGGGCUAAGGUCACCAUGGCCAGGGCCAUGUGUGGGCUAGAGGGGUAUAAAUCCCGACAGCAUUGGGCUGUGGAGUGAUGGAGUGGAACUGUGUUCUCUGGAGUGAUGGAGCUCCAUCCAGUACCUUUGGGAUGAGCUGGAGUGAUACAGAGCUGACCACCCAACACCAGUACCUGACCUCACUAAUGCUCAAUCAAAUCCUCACAGUACAUACAUGUGUGUAUAUUUAAAAUUUAUACAUACAUACAUUUGCAGCCCUUUAGUUUCCAUUCAUCCCAUUAUAUGUAUUUAUUUUUCAUUGGUUCUCUUUAGGGCGGCACGGUGGCGUAGUGGGUAGCGCUGUCGCCUCACAGCGAGGAGGGCCUGGGUUCGAUUCCCCAGCCGGGCAACCAGGGU